CGUUCAAUUAAAUUAGAUAUGAAAAGCACUCGAUGUGCGGAGAGCGAUGUUUUUCUGCUGUAAUAUUAAAGAGAAUUUUCACACCUCGCACAAUUAUAUCAAAACUAUAAUUCUGAUCCGCUCAACCUAUUCCGCCGUUUACCCGACAUCGUUUAAUAACGUAACUAACUUCGGCACACGUGUGAAAUAAUUCAAAUAAAAUGACAACUGGCGUGAAAAAUUAUCCGCAUGCGUCUUUCUAACGAGGGCAGCAGAGUCGGUAUGACGAAGUCGAGUCUCCUGUUUACCUCGAUCCCUGCAGUGCAAUUGCGAAGUGAAUUCGCGAGCGUAUAUUAUUUAUCAUUUUUAUAUUAUCUACGCGUUAAAUAUGGAAAUAGAAUUGGUGAAGACGAGAAGAGAG
Molecule: unclassified non-coding RNA, 400 nt
Filed under: Athalia rosae (coleseed sawfly)
Lineage: Eukaryota; Metazoa; Arthropoda; Insecta; Hymenoptera; Athaliidae
Description: misc RNA ENSAEAG00005002698.1
Source: RNAcentral